This 314-nucleotide ribosomal RNA is filed under the name uncultured bacterium. Its description in RNAcentral is "partial 16S ribosomal RNA". It matches the Rfam family "Bacterial small subunit ribosomal RNA", at positions 499 to 807 of the family's 1533-position model. The record is from RNAcentral.
UUAUAAGAGACAGCAGUAGCCGCGGUAAUACGUAGGUGGCAAGCGUUGUCCGGAAUUAUUGGGCGCAAAGGGCUCGCGGGCGGUUUCUUAAGUCUGAUGUGAAAGCCCCCGGCUCAACCGGGGAGGGUCAUUGGAAACUGGGAAACUUGAGUGCAGAAGAGGAGAGUGGAAUUCCACGUGUAGCGGUGAAAUGCGUAGAGAUGUGGAGGAACACCAGUGGCGAAGGCGACUCUCUGGUCUGUAACUGACGCUGAGGAGCGAAAGCGUGGGGAGCAAGCAGGAUUAGAUACCCCUGUAGUCCCUGUCUCUUAUAC